GGCGGACGGGUAGUAAUGUCUGGGAAGUUGCCCGAUAGUGGGGGAUAACCAUUGGAAACGAUGGCUAAUACCGCAUAACCUCGCAAGAGCAAAGAAGCGGAUCUUCGGACCUUUCGCUAUCGGAUACGCCCAGAUGGGAUUAGCUAGUUGGUGAGGUAAGGGCUCACCAAGGCGACGAUCCCUAGCUGGUCUGAGAGGAUGAUCCGCCACACUGGAACUGAGACACGGUACAGACUCCUACGGGAGGCAGCAGUGGGGAAAUAUUGCAAAUGGGCGCAAGCCUGAUGCAGCCAUGCCGCGUGUAUGAAGAAGGCCUUCGGGUUGUUAAGUACUUUCAGCAGUGAGGAAGAUGGUGAGAUUAAUACUCUCAUCAUUUGACCUUAGCUGCAGAAGAAGCACCGGCUAACUCCGUGCCAGCAGCCGCGGUAAUACGGAGGGUGCGAGCGUUAAUCGGAAUUACUGGACGUAAAGCGCAUGCUGGUGGUCUGUUAAGUCAGAUGUGAAAGCCCGGGGCUUAAACUCGGAAUCGCAUUUGAAACUGGCAGGCUAGAGUGCUGUAGACGGGGGUAGAAUUCCAGGUGUAGCGGUGAAAUGCGUAGAGAUCAGGAGGAAUACCGGUGGCGAAGGCGGCCCC
RNAcentral lists this ribosomal RNA (634 nucleotides) under uncultured bacterium. RNAcentral's name for it is "bacterial SSU rRNA". It matches the Rfam family "Bacterial small subunit ribosomal RNA", at positions 97 to 728 of the family's 1533-position model. The record is from RNAcentral.